UACAGAGGGGGCAAGCGUUAUUCGGAAUUAUUGGGCGUAAAGGGCGCGUAGGCGGCUUUGCAAGUGACGGGUGAAAGCCCUCGGCUUAACCGAGGAACUGCCUGUCAGACUGUAAGGCUUGAGACCGGGAGAGGUGAGUGGAAUUCCCAGUGUAGCGGUGAAAUGCGUAGAUAUUGGGAGGAACACCAGUGGCGAAGGCGGCUCACUGGCCCGGUACUGACGCUGAGGCGCGAAAGCUAGGGGAGCAAACGGG
This 253-nucleotide ribosomal RNA is filed under the name uncultured bacterium. Its description in RNAcentral is "partial 16S ribosomal RNA". It matches the Rfam family "Bacterial small subunit ribosomal RNA", at positions 524 to 776 of the family's 1533-position model. The record is from RNAcentral.